GCGAGUGUAGCUCAGUGGUAGAGCAUAACCUUGCCAAGGUUGGGGUCGCGAGUUCGAAUCUCGUCACUCGCUC
Molecule: transfer RNA, 73 nt
Filed under: Fidelibacterota bacterium
Lineage: Bacteria; Pseudomonadati; Fidelibacterota
Description: Candidatus Marinimicrobia bacterium tRNA-Gly
Rfam family: tRNA
About the family: Transfer RNA (tRNA) molecules are approximately 80 nucleotides in length.
Source: RNAcentral